This 163-nucleotide ribosomal RNA is filed under the name Aster procerus. RNAcentral's name for it is "5.8S ribosomal RNA". It matches the Rfam family "5.8S ribosomal RNA". From Rfam's summary of the family: 5.8S ribosomal RNA (5.8S rRNA) is a component of the large subunit of the eukaryotic ribosome. It is transcribed by RNA polymerase I as part of the 45S precursor that also contains 18S and 28S rRNA. Lineage: Eukaryota; Viridiplantae; Streptophyta; Magnoliopsida; Asterales; Asteraceae. The record is from RNAcentral.
CAAACGACUCUCGGCAACGGAUAUCUCGGCUCACGCAUCGAUGAAGAACGUAGCAAAAUGCGAUACUUGGUGUGAAUUGCAGAAUCCCGUGAACCAUCGAGUUUUUGAACGCAAGUUGCGCCCGAUGCCAAUCGGCUGAGGGCACGUCUGCCUGGGCGUCACG